GGGGCUGACCGGUUUUGACAGUAGGUGUAAUCAUCGGGCUCGCAUGCAGGCUGGAGUAUGUACGGCCUUAAACCAUUCAUACGAACGAUAAAUGGCGAAACUUCUUACGCCAUGGCUGCCUAAUCUCUCCUAACCAGGACUGAUUGCUUAAAGGGUUGAGUCGCGAGAGUGAUUCCCCGGCCACAUCCCUCCGCGUUUUGCCUGAUCGGUGCGGGUUAGGGGUGUCGACUUGAUCGGGAUGCGGCUUGUGAUGCGAUUAAGCAGGUCUAAGACAAAUCGAUAAGCCAAACUCAGGUGUGUCACCCAGCAUAGUUUGGUCGAAAACCCAACAGGUGACUAAGCAUGUAGACGGUACGGUGCUUCCUUAUCUGGACGUGGGUUCGAAUCCCACCAGCUCCACUU
This 402-nucleotide transfer-messenger RNA is filed under the name Algoriphagus lacus. Its description in RNAcentral is "Standard tmRNA". It matches the Rfam family "transfer-messenger RNA". Rfam says of the family: Bacterial tmRNA, also known as 10Sa RNA or SsrA, is named for its dual tRNA and mRNA-like properties. Its role is to liberate the mRNA from a stalled ribosome. To accomplish this part of the tmRNA is used as a reading frame that ends in a translation stop signal. The record is from RNAcentral. Lineage: Bacteria; Pseudomonadati; Bacteroidota; Cytophagia; Cytophagales; Cyclobacteriaceae.